UCGAGCUGCCGUUAUCCCUCUGCGCUAGCUGGAGUCCUCCGGGAGGGCCGUCGCAGUCCUGUAGGCUCCCUGGCUGGGUUCAGGAAAUACCAUUUUCAGCUGAAAGGAUAGGAAAAACAGUCCAGUCAACAUAAGGCAGCCACAUAACCAAGAAAUGACACUUUCUAACAUGACCGAAUUUGACCCCGGGCACAGCUAACAACAGCCAGCCACACCGAAGUUCAUCCCGAUGAACACAUGCUGUUACCACAACAACAAACAGAUCAACUGGAAGGAUACCCUUCGCCUGGAG
Tupaia belangeri chinensis (Chinese tree shrew) is the source of this 292-nucleotide long non-coding RNA. RefSeq lists it as uncharacterized. The transcript has 3 exons. The record is from RefSeq and is a predicted model, not a curated record. Lineage: Eukaryota; Metazoa; Chordata; Mammalia; Scandentia; Tupaiidae.